Molecule: ribosomal RNA, 253 nt
Filed under: uncultured bacterium
Lineage: Bacteria
Description: partial 16S ribosomal RNA
Rfam family: Bacterial small subunit ribosomal RNA
Source: RNAcentral
UACGUAGGUGGCAAGCGUUGUCCGGAUUUAUUGGGUUUAAAGGGUGCGUAGGCGGCUUUGUAAGUCAUUGGUGAAAUAUGGCAGCUCAACUGUCAGGGUGCCAUUGAUACUGCGGAGCUUGAGUACAGAUGAGGUAGGCGGAAUUGACGGUGUAGCGGUGAAAUGCUUAGAUAUCGUCAAGAACACCGAUAGCGAAGGCAGCUUACUAGGCUGUAACUGACGCUGAGGCACGAAAGUGUGGGGAUCAAACAGG